GGUCAGCAUACUGCGGUGAAUACGUUCCCGGGCCUUGUACACACCGCCCGUCACACCACGAAAGUCGGAAGUGCCCAAAGCCGGUGGGGUAACCUUCGGGAGCCAGCCGUCUAAGGUAAAGUCGAUGAUUGGGGUGAAGUCGUAACAAGGUAGCCGUAUCGGAAGGUGCGGCUGGAUCACCUCCUUUCUAGGGAGA
Molecule: ribosomal RNA, 196 nt
Filed under: Prevotella sp.
Lineage: Bacteria; Pseudomonadati; Bacteroidota; Bacteroidia; Bacteroidales; Prevotellaceae
Description: partial 16S ribosomal RNA
Rfam family: Bacterial small subunit ribosomal RNA
Source: RNAcentral